This 437-nucleotide ribosomal RNA is filed under the name uncultured Clostridium sp. RNAcentral describes it as "partial 16S ribosomal RNA". It matches the Rfam family "Bacterial small subunit ribosomal RNA", at positions 341 to 792 of the family's 1533-position model. Lineage: Bacteria; Bacillati; Bacillota; Clostridia; Eubacteriales; Clostridiaceae. The record is from RNAcentral.
ACGGGAGGCAGCAGUGGUGGAUAUUGCACCAUGGAGGAAACUCUGAUGCAGCAACGCCGCGUGAGGGAAGAAGGUUUUCGGAUUGUAAACCUCUGUUUUUAGUGAAGAAACAAAUGACGGUAGCUAAAGAGGAAGCCACGGCUAACUACGUGCCAGCAGCCGCGGUAAUACGUAGGUGGCAAGCGUUGUCCGGAUUUACUGGGUGUAAAGGGUGCGCAGGCGGGACUGCAAGUUGGAUGUGAAAAUCCGAGGCUCAACCUCGGAACUGCAUCCAGAACUGUGGUGCUUGAGUGGAGCAGAGGUAAGCGGAAUUCCGAGUGUAGCGGUGAAAUGCGUAGGUAUACGGAGGAACACCAGUGGCGAAGGCGGCUUACUGGGCUCUAACUGACGCUGAGGCACGAAAGUGUGGGUAGCAAACAGGAUUAGAUACCCUGGUA